This 321-nucleotide ribosomal RNA is filed under the name Triticum aestivum (bread wheat). RNAcentral describes it as "partial small subunit ribosomal RNA". The record is from RNAcentral. Lineage: Eukaryota; Viridiplantae; Streptophyta; Magnoliopsida; Poales; Poaceae.
AUGGAGCACAUUCGGCAGAUCGUCACCUUGUGGGCUCGGUUGCGAGUCAUUCCUAUAUCGGAGGACACGGAGGACACAAUUACUUGGAAGCACACUCUUGAUGGAGCUUACUAUGCCACUUCUGCGUACAAGGCGCAACUUCUUGGGACGGUUCGUUCGUCCAUGCACUUCGCGGUUUGGAAGGCUUGGGCGCCACCCAAGAUGAAAUUUUUCGCUUGGCUUGCGAUUCAAAACCGUAUCUGGACGGCGGAUAGAUUACAGAAANNNNNNNNNNGAGUCGUCUAUUUUGAAAUAGAGGGAGUAUAUACUUUGGUGGAGUAG